This 432-nucleotide unclassified non-coding RNA is filed under the name uncultured Orbiliaceae. Its description in RNAcentral is "sequence contains ITS2". The stretch from base 1 to 154 matches the Rfam family "5.8S ribosomal RNA". The record is from RNAcentral. Lineage: Eukaryota; Fungi; Ascomycota; Orbiliomycetes; Orbiliales.
AACUUUUGACAACGGAUCUCUUGGUUCUCGCAUCGAUGAAGAACGCAGCGAAUUGCGAUAUGUAAUGUGAAUUGCAGAAUUCAGUGAAUCAUCGAGUCUUUGAACGCACAUUGCGCCUUUUGGUAUUCCGAGAGGCACGCCUGUUCGAGCGUCAGUGAAAACCCUUCCGGGUCAGCUUUUUCGGAAGCUCGACCGCGGGACCCUGGCGUGGGGAGACCGGCCGCAAGGCCCCUCCCCCGCUUAAACUCGGAGAAAGCUAGCGGGCUCAUGGCCACGACCGCAGAAGACUAGUAAUUUUACCACGUCAUCAGAAGUCCUACCAUAGCCUCGCCUCUUAACACCGACGGCAGCCUUCCGGCUGUCAUCCUGACUCUUGACCUCGAAUCAGACGAGGAUACCCGCUGAACUUAAGCAUAUCAAUAAGCGGAGGCU